GAGAGAGAGAGAAAAAUAUAUGAAAUUACAUAACCCUGAACGGUGGAUCACUUGGCUUGUGGGUCGAUGAAGAACGCAGCAAAAAGCGCGUCGACGUGUGAACUGCAGGACACAUGAACAUCGACGUUUCGAACGCACAUUGCGGUCCUUGGAUUUAUAUCCUGGACCACGCCUGACUGAGGGUCGGUUACAAAAAUCGUAAAAACGACGUGUCUCUCCGCGUUCGCGCGGAGAUCAACACGUUCGGCGUGGCGCCCGUGCCUGUUGAGCGGGCGUCGAACGCGAAUUGGGAGUGUCGGUCGUCGCCUCGGCGGCGGCCGUCUCUUUAAAAAUCUGUCACGUUGCACUAGUAGAGUGGCCAGAGUUGCGCGAUCCUCGGAUCGAAGUACCUUGCCCGUCUCGCCGUAAAAGGCGUGCGGUUGCCCCGAACGUGGUGUGUAAUCAUUCAAACCGAUCGCACGCCCUCCGUUCUUGCCGUGGCCCGCGCGUUCUCAGAGUCGGUGCACUUGAGUCUCUAUGCAGCCCGCGUCGCGAUACGCUAGAAAACGAAAGGCGACGAAAGAAGUGACCAAACAAAAAUUCUAAAACGACCUCAGAUCAGGUGA
This 605-nucleotide ribosomal RNA is filed under the name Zwicknia bifrons. RNAcentral's name for it is "eukaryotic LSU rRNA". The stretch from base 32 to 186 matches the Rfam family "5.8S ribosomal RNA". The record is from RNAcentral. Lineage: Eukaryota; Metazoa; Arthropoda; Insecta; Plecoptera; Capniidae.